AUUGAACGCUGGCGGCAUGCCUAACACAUGCAAGUCGAGCGGAGCGGCGGACGGGAGAGUAAUGCCUAGGAAUCUGCCUGGUAGUGGGGGAAAACGUCCGGAAAAGGGCGCUAAUACCGCAUACUAUCAGAUGAGCCUAGGUCGGUUUGGCUAGUUGGGGGGGUAAAGGCCUACCAGGGCGACGAUCCGUACCUGGGCCGAGAGGUGGAUCAGUCACACUGGAACGGAGACACGGUCCAGACUCCUACGGGAGGCAGCAGUGGGGAAUAUUGGACAAUGGGCGAAAGCCUUAUCCAGCCAGGCCGCGUGUGUGAAGAAGGUCUUCGGAUUGUAAAGCACUUUAAGUUGGGAGGCGUUACCGACAGAAUAAGCACCGGCUAACUUCGUGCCAGCAGCCGCGGUAAUAC
This 407-nucleotide ribosomal RNA is filed under the name uncultured bacterium. RNAcentral's name for it is "partial 16S ribosomal RNA". It matches the Rfam family "Bacterial small subunit ribosomal RNA", at positions 30 to 526 of the family's 1533-position model. The record is from RNAcentral.